This 145-nucleotide ribosomal RNA is filed under the name Clostridiales bacterium. RNAcentral describes it as "partial 23S ribosomal RNA". It matches the Rfam family "Bacterial large subunit ribosomal RNA", at positions 2779 to 2925 of the family's 2925-position model. The record is from RNAcentral. Lineage: Bacteria; Bacillati; Bacillota; Clostridia; Eubacteriales.
AUCUAAGCGUGAAGCCCCCCUCAAGAUGAGAUAUCCCAUUCUUAUGAAGUAAACCCCCUUGAAGACGACGAGGUAGAUAGGGCAGAGGUGGAAGUGUGGCAACACAUGGAGCUGACUGUUACUAAUCGGGUGAGGGCUUGACCAA